CCAGCACAAAGUUAUAACACUUACGUUUACAUGGGAGCUUUAAUUCCUCUUUAAUUCAGAAUAAAAGUUAAAUCCUCUUUAAACUGACCUUGUAAACACUAAAUUCCUAAUGUAAAUAUAAUUCUGAAUUAAACACACAUAAUGGUCAGACAUUGAUAGGCUCUGGCUCCGCCCCUAGUGGACAAUUUCUGAAAUAAUUUAUAAACAAUAUCAUUGUAGUCAAACAAAUCUGACUUUUCACACCUAUGAACCAAGCAGCAGCCAUGUUGAAAGUCUCAGGUUAAUCUAAGCCUGAUCUGCAGAGAUAUUUGAGGAACACACAGACACACACAGACACACACAGACACACACAGACACAGAGAUUCCUUGCUUUAGAUAAAUGAUGAAAUUAAUUCCAUAAUAGUUUUCUAAACAAAGGGGGAGGGACUUAGAUUGAGAAAUAAUAUAAGGUGGUACUGGAGCCUAAAAGCUUUGAGAACCUAUAAUGAGCUGGUCUGGAUAGAUGAGACCUGUAUGAGUCAGUGGUGAGGAACCUGAACACACCACAGAGAUGAAAUACAGGAGAGUUGGUUGAUGAGUUCCUCCUCCCACAGAUACCAACCUGGGCCCCUCCCUCGUCCUGAACGCAGUUAUUCUACAGAGCACUCAGUGUCUGACUGACAGUGUCAGUGCUCUACUACAGACAGCAGACGCAAGAUGAGGAUUAUGGGUCCACCAAAAGGCGUUGUAGAGGAGCUUGGUUUGGAUUCACCAAACGGCCUUGUCUUCAUCGCUGCCUUACUCAUUGUUGGCAUCAUUCUGGUCGCCCUCUGCAUGGGACACAAGAGGAGCACGACUAAUGCCUAUGACGUGAGCGGAUCAAAGACUGAUGAGGGAGCCAAUGGGAGCAAUGCUACAAAGACGGCGGGAACAUCCAACACUGAUUAUUCGUGGAGGAGCCACAAUGAGAUGCCUCCGAAUUCCCUGAACAGGCCCAAAGCACAAACCCAUUGAACGGCCACGCCCCCUCAACAUUUAAUAAAAAACAAUAAAACCCAGGCUUCA
RNAcentral lists this long non-coding RNA (1044 nucleotides) under Gouania willdenowi (blunt-snouted clingfish). RNAcentral describes it as "lncRNA (ENSGWIG00000003782.1)". The record is from RNAcentral. Lineage: Eukaryota; Metazoa; Chordata; Actinopteri; Blenniiformes; Gobiesocidae.